RNAcentral lists this ribosomal RNA (242 nucleotides) under uncultured bacterium. RNAcentral describes it as "partial 16S ribosomal RNA". It matches the Rfam family "Bacterial small subunit ribosomal RNA", at positions 65 to 334 of the family's 1533-position model. The record is from RNAcentral.
AACGAGGUAGCAAUACCUAGUGGCGGACGGGUGAGUAACGCGUGGGAAUCUGCCUUUAGAUGGGGGAUAACGGGCCGAAAGGUCCGCUAAUACCGCAUAUGCCGCAAGGUGAAAGGAGUAAUCCGUCUAAAGAUGAGCCCGCGUCCGAUUAGCUAGUUGGUAGAGUAAGAGCCUACCAAGGCGACGAUCGGUAGCUGGUCUGAGAGGAUGAUCAGCCACAAUGGGACUGAGACACGGCCCAU